CGAGCUGGACAGAUGAUUACCCCGACGUCACGUCGGGGAGGAAAGUCCGAACACCGAGGCGACAGCAAUGUCGUCGGAAAGCGAGAGCCGCUAACGGCGGCCGGGAUAUGGCGGAAUAGACGAUGUCAUCGUAUCAAGUCGCGUAAAAACGACGAGAUGCGUCCAAAGCCUUUCCGUAAACCCAGGGAAAGUCCCGAUGCAAAUCGGGAUCCCGAACGAGUCCGAGCUUGCUCGGAUGAGCAUCGGGAUGCCACAGAGACUAUACUAUCCCCCACCGCUCUUCGGAGCUUUGGAGGAGAAAGGUGAAAAGUGAAACGAGGUGGUUCGACGCAAGUCGACUGCUACGCUUCUCCGCCGCUGGUGACAGCGGUGCGUGGUAAACCCUCUCUGGUGCAAGAGCAAGAUCCGAUCCGCGGCUUCGGCUGCGGUGAAGAACUGGUAGCUCGCUUGAGCCGUGCAGCAAUGCACGUGCCAGAUAGAUGAUCAUCCGGUUGACGCAAGUCAGCCGACAAAAUUCGGCUUAUCGUCCAGCUCAAACA
This 539-nucleotide RNase P RNA is filed under the name Patescibacteria group bacterium. RNAcentral's name for it is "RNase P RNA component class A". It matches the Rfam family "Bacterial RNase P class A". Rfam says of the family: Ribonuclease P (RNase P) is a ubiquitous endoribonuclease, found in archaea, bacteria and eukarya as well as chloroplasts and mitochondria. Its best characterised activity is the generation of mature 5'-ends of tRNAs by cleaving the 5'-leader elements of precursor-tRNAs. The record is from RNAcentral.